GUGCUAAGUUCUGCUCUUGAUGAUUGCUCAAUUAAUGUUUUACAAACUUGAAUAAUAGGUUUGUGAUUAUUCGUUGGCUUCUUUUGGAUGAUUGCCCUAUUAAUGGAAGCUGAUCAUCUGUAUAGACUUAAAUAACAGUUAGAGCUACAACACACUUUCCCCCAAAUUAAGGCUCUAUAAGGUGGACCAAUCCGGAUCACAAAUCAGGCUCAACCUAUACUACUUAAAACAAUCUACCUUUAUUACAAAUAAGGAUGACAAAUUGGCAAGGCAACAGGUAUUAGGCAAAUCGAAUGUGUAUGGGAUGAGGCAAAUGCAUGGGCAAAGUGGGUAGAUAUGAGGCAGAUUAAACCUCAUACCAUCACCUAUAUAUCAA
Molecule: long non-coding RNA, 376 nt
Organism: Amaranthus tricolor (Joseph's coat)
Lineage: Eukaryota; Viridiplantae; Streptophyta; Magnoliopsida; Caryophyllales; Amaranthaceae
Exons: 3
Source: RefSeq, a predicted model, not a curated record